GGUCAGACAAGGAAGGGGGGAUACACAUACAACAUACCUUUUCCAUUCCUUGCUUGCUGGCUUACUACUUCCAUUGCAAAAACUGCUACUACUGCAUAAAACGUCACUUGUCUGCUAAUAAUGCAUACAAAGUUACCGAGAGAUUGGAAAUUUGAUAUUGUAUGAUAGAUUGCAUUCGUGACACUCAGUGUCCGAACCCCUAAAUGCAUAGAAUGAAAUGACAUGAUUGAUAUCAAGCAUCAGCGCAAAAAAACACGCACCAGAGCCAGCGCUACAAGAAAGCAUCGUUAGGGAGCCAGGGGAGCCUAAAGUACCCAAAAGGAGAAUUGCGAAAUCAAGGGAAUUGUCGUUAUCUUAAAACUAAGCGACACUUUCAAUCAUCCAUCGUUCUUUCGUUCUUUCUCUCUCACAAACAAUCGUUAUAUCCUUUUUUCGUGGCUUCCCACUUUACUGCACAAUGAGGGGAGUACGAGAGAGAGCACGGUGCGGUAAUGGAUUGAAUUUUCAAAAUGGAAAGCAAAAGCGAAAUCAUCCAUUCUCGCAGACGUUAGCAAGGUUGGAGUAUGAGCUGGUUAAAAUUUUUUGAGACUUGAUUUGAUCAACGAUCGGAUUACUCAAUUGUUUGGCUAAACCGGUUGCAUCCCCUCCAUCCCUCCUUCCAUUCCAUCUUCCAUCCACACAACUCGCUUUUCAAUUCGAAUCGGCAAAACACAUUGAAUCGUCUCUGCCGCAAACGUUGUCGGUGCAUGCUGGAUUUGCAUCUCUCGCGAAUUCGUUAGCGAUGCCAUUCGCUUGUGCUGACCGCUCUCCCUCCCUCCUUUCUUCUCUUCCUCCUUGCUUACCUCUUCGCUCAAUCUACCUUCACUCACCCUCUGUACUUCUUCACUGUAUCUCGAUCGACUCGGACUCUGCACCUCUUCACUAUAUCGGGGAUGCGCCGGUCCCUGCAUCUCACGUUUCUUGUUCACCGCCCUUAACAAUUCCACCCGCAAAAAGUGUUCCACUCCAAAUUGCUGUGUUUCAAAUGUUUCCGGACAUUCCUCCGGCACAACCAUCGAAGCGCUCAUGUUUUCCAACUCAAACACUCCCCGUGUAAUUCUACACCACACUUUUCGCGUCGCCCUCUCCGUCCCUACGCUGUUGCGUAUACGGAUGUCUGGCACAAUACGCUCCACACUUUCAAGUUGCAUAUGCACUUGUCGAACCAUCGCGUCCAGUCCUUCUAGCUCAAUCAUCAUCAUCUCUCCUGUCCGAUAUCUGCUUUUGCUCAAAAGCAAUCGACAUAACACUUUUUGUUUGCUUGUAAUCUCAAACCUCGUGGCCAUUGGUUGCUUGGAUUCGAGUUUUUUUAACAACGCAAUUUUUUCUUCAUCCUCUUCCUCUAAUACUUCUUCAUUGAUCUCUGACCUCAUUCCAUGAUCUUGGAAUUCUCCUCCUCCCUCUUCAUUAGACUCUCCAUCAAGUAGCUUUUUUAUGUGUUGCUCGUAUUUCUUUUUUUGCUUCUCUUCCUCCUGCGCAUCCUGCGAAAGUCGUAUACCGUUUUUACCGAAUUGCCUACGUGCUUUCUCUGCUGAAACCUCUUCAAUUUCUGCCGCAUCUGUUUCAAUAAUCGGUUUGGAUAAAUCUGCAAACAGCUUCGAGGAUUGUCUGUUUCCCGAAUUCUUUCCGAGUGGCAGUUCAGGUUGCUGUUGAACGUUGGGUACUAUAGUAAUUUCAAAUUCAUGCUCUACACAAGCAUUGUUGGUAGCUGAUUGGACUCCUAUGACCAGUGCGUGUUGAAAUCGAAAGGCCAAUCCUUUAUAUGUAGGUGCUGUUCGAAGGGGAAUUCUUCGCUUCAACCGAAAGCAUUUUUCCUCUCCAGGAGAAAGCGUGAUAUCGACUCCUAAUAUAUCUGGACGAGUCAGUAGCACUGGAAUGGCAUUUUCCUGCUUUUGUUCUUUAUCGGUUAGUAUUCAUGCUUAAGCAGUAGGUUGCAGUAAAAAUAAGAGUAACCAUCUUCCAAAAAAAAAAAAAAAAAAAAAAAAAAUUGAAUAAAGAGUAAAUAUGUUUCAAAUGAAUUACAAAACUCUUCCCAGACAACCUUUCUGUAAUUCGUCAAUUGACUUUAUGUCCACCUCACCGUAUAAGCACUCUUCCGAGCUAUAUCUUCCCUCCAAAUGUAAGCCAAUUGAGAGAUUUUUUUUACCAAGUCUUUAUUUCCUUUUGCACCCUUUCACCAUUACAUACCUGAGGCCUCUGUCAAUGUACUUGCUUGUUUAACUCCAAAUAAAUUUCCAAUCAUCCCGUUCAGAGUAUUAAUAACAGAAUAACUGCUGGAUACCUUGGGAAUAUGUACUAAUCCGCUCAUUGUCCUUUUGUUUAAGAGCCCCUGCCUCUGAACCUCAUCGAAUUCUGUAACGCGCACCAGUACAUAGUCAAGGUACAUUUCACCAUGGAUAGAAGCAUAGCACAAAAGUAAAUUUACAUCUUCUGAACUCCUUAGAUUCGUGAAUUUUACAAUGCACUCAAAGUCAGUUCCGGAUUGAACUACAUUCACUGGCAUGUACAUUUGCACAUCACAUUCUGUCAUUGUCGAACACCACUAAACUCUUAUAUUCGAUAAUUUCUCAAGCCGCUGGCUUCAGCUUUACCUUAAUAAUAACCAUACAACUUGGAUUUCUUCAUUCGUAUUGACGAACGUUUAUUAGUCUCGUAACAAAUGCACAAUCAAAAUAGUACUGUAAAAGAGCCCACUUUUCUUCCUCCACGACUCAUUUUACGAGAUUAAAUAACGAACGCCCACAAUCAAUUUUUUACACUCUCCUUACUAUUCCUUAAUUUACUCAUUUACGAAUGUUUUAACGAAGCUUUGUUAACUCUCUGCUUUUGGC
Molecule: long non-coding RNA, 2870 nt
Filed under: Schizosaccharomyces pombe (fission yeast)
Lineage: Eukaryota; Fungi; Ascomycota; Schizosaccharomycetes; Schizosaccharomycetales; Schizosaccharomycetaceae
Description: non-coding RNA, possible alternative UTR
Source: RNAcentral